GUACAGAAGAUAGAGAGAUACCAUGAUCAAGAGGGUUUUCCAAGGGCAAGGCUUAUCCAUUGCCCUGUGGAUGUGCUUCCCCGUCACUUCUCCAGAUGUCAGAAACUUGACUAGAUAAUCUGUGGUCGUGGGGGCCUGUGAUCACACUCUUUCCUA
Echinops telfairi (small Madagascar hedgehog) is the source of this 156-nucleotide small nuclear RNA. Its record names the gene U1. It matches the Rfam family "U1 spliceosomal RNA". From Rfam's summary of the family: U1 is a small nuclear RNA (snRNA) component of the spliceosome (involved in pre-mRNA splicing). Its 5' end forms complementary base pairs with the 5' splice junction, thus defining the 5' donor site of an intron. There are significant differences in sequence and secondary structure between metazoan and yeast U1 snRNAs, the latter being much longer (568 nucleotides as compared to 164 nucleotides in human). Lineage: Eukaryota; Metazoa; Chordata; Mammalia; Afrosoricida; Tenrecidae. The record is from Ensembl.